Molecule: non-coding RNA, 23 nt
Filed under: Mus musculus (house mouse)
Lineage: Eukaryota; Metazoa; Chordata; Mammalia; Rodentia; Muridae
Source: RNAcentral
UCCGAGAGGCUUGUGUGUUCCAC